AUUGAACGCUGGCGGCAGGCCUAACACAUGCAAGUCGAACGGUAACAGGAAACAGCUUGCUGUUUCGCUGACGAGUGGCGGACGGGUGAGUAAUGUCUGGGAAACUGCCUGAUGGAGGGGGAUAACUACUGGAAACGGUAGCUAAUACCGCAUAACGUCGCAAGACCUAAGAGGGGGACCUUCGGGCCUCUUGCCAUCGGAUGUGCCCAGAUGGGAUUAGCUAGUAGGUGGGGUAACGGCUCACCUAGGCGACGAUCCCUAGCUGGUCUGAGAGGAUGACCAGCCACACUGGAACUGAGACACGGUCCAGACUCCUACGGGAGGCAGCAGUGGGGAAUAUUGCACAAUGGGCGCAAGCCUGAUGCAGCCAUGCCGCGUGUAUGAAGAAGGCCUUCGGGUUGUAAAGUACUUUCAGCGGGGAGGAAGGGAGUAAAGUUAAUACCUUUACUCAUUGACGUUACCCGCAGAAGAAGCACCGGCUAACUCCGUG
RNAcentral lists this ribosomal RNA (490 nucleotides) under uncultured bacterium. Its description in RNAcentral is "partial 16S ribosomal RNA". It matches the Rfam family "Bacterial small subunit ribosomal RNA", at positions 30 to 507 of the family's 1533-position model. The record is from RNAcentral.